RNAcentral lists this transfer RNA (71 nucleotides) under Marmota monax (woodchuck). RNAcentral describes it as "tRNA.Ala". It matches the Rfam family "tRNA". From Rfam's summary of the family: Transfer RNA (tRNA) molecules are approximately 80 nucleotides in length. Their secondary structure includes four short double-helical elements and three loops (D, anti-codon, and T loops). Lineage: Eukaryota; Metazoa; Chordata; Mammalia; Rodentia; Sciuridae. The record is from RNAcentral.
GGGGCUGUGGCUCAUUGGUAGAGCGCUCACCUUGCAUGUAUGAGGCUCUGGGUUCCAUCCUCAGCACCACA